Non-coding RNA from Cyanistes caeruleus (blue tit), 640 nucleotides. The record is from RefSeq and is a predicted model, not a curated record. Lineage: Eukaryota; Metazoa; Chordata; Aves; Passeriformes; Paridae.
GAAAUCUGUGACCCUGCAAUUGGAGGAGAGAUUAUCAUGUGCCCACUUUGUGACCGAGACUGUGAAUACUGGAGACUAAAUACCACCUGCGAGUCCUCACAGUAUUCCCAUCUGUUUGACAACGUGGCAACUCUUUUUUUUGCCAUUUUCAUGGGUAUAUGGGGUGAGUACGUUUGAUAAGUUUUAUGUUCAGCAGGAAGGAGAUCUUGGCAAAGCUACUGAGGGACACUGGAAGUGGGAAGAAGGGAAAUAAUGGCUUCACUUUAGUAUCCUGCCUCAGAUGCAGAAGUGACAAAUGAGUGAAAUUAAUUUAAAGUUACAGAAGAAUGAAGAUUUAAAAAGCCCAAGCAGACAUCUUGGAUACUGACACUAGAGGACAUGAACUAUUGAGCGAGGGUCCCCAGAAAUCAGUCACACAGCUGCUUUCGUGAGGCAAAAAGCCUUUAUUGCGGGGUCUUGACAACCCUUUUAUAAGCUUCUCUGAUCAGGUCACCCUGAUUGGUAGAAGGAACAAGACAAGCCGAUACAAGGUGUCACCUACGCUCCACCAAGGAUCUUUCAGCAGUGCAUCAGUGGCAGUUGGAAAAAAUCCAUUUAUUUUCCCCAUAAAUACAAAGCAUUAAUAUCUGGUUCAGGAAUA